RNAcentral lists this ribosomal RNA (390 nucleotides) under uncultured bacterium. RNAcentral's name for it is "bacterial SSU rRNA". It matches the Rfam family "Bacterial small subunit ribosomal RNA", at positions 29 to 408 of the family's 1533-position model. The record is from RNAcentral.
AAUGAACGCUGGCGGCGCGCCUAAUACAUGCAAGUCGAGCGAGAAGACGUAGCAAUACGUUUGUAAAGCGGCGAACGGGUGAGGAAUACAUGGGUAACCUACCCUAGAGUGGGGAAUAACUAGCCGAAAGGUUAGCUAAUACCGCGUACGCUCCUUGGACUUCGGUUCAGGGAGGAAAGCGAUGCCGAGGGUAUCGCGCUCUUGGAUGGGCUCAUGUCCUAUCAGCNGUUGGUGAGGUAACGGCUCACCAAGGCUUCGACGGGUAGCUGGUCUGAGAGGACGAUCAGCCACACUGGCACUGCGACACGGGGCCAGACUCCUACGGGAGGCAGCAGUAAGGAAUAUUGCGCAAUGGGCGAAAGCCUGACGCAGCGACGCCGCGGUGGGGGA